RNAcentral lists this ribosomal RNA (716 nucleotides) under uncultured Lachnospiraceae bacterium. RNAcentral's name for it is "bacterial SSU rRNA". It matches the Rfam family "Bacterial small subunit ribosomal RNA", at positions 32 to 746 of the family's 1533-position model. Lineage: Bacteria; Bacillati; Bacillota; Clostridia; Lachnospirales; Lachnospiraceae. The record is from RNAcentral.
AACGCUGGCGGCGUGCUUAACACAUGCAAGUCGAACGAAGCACUUUAUUUGAUUUCCUUCGGGACUGAUUAUUUUGUGACUGAGUGGCGGACGGGUGAGUAACGCGUGGGUAACCUGCCUUGUACAGGGGGAUAACAGUUGGAAACGGCUGCUAAUACCGCAUAAGCGCACAGUAUCGCAUGAUGCAGUGUGAAAAACUCCGGUGGUAUAAGAUGGACCCGCGUUGGAUUAGCUAGUUGGUGAGGUAACGGCCCACCAAGGCGACGAUCCAUAGCCGACCUGAGAGGGUGACCGGCCACAUUGGGACUGAGACACGGCCCAAACUCCUACGGGAGGCAGCAGUGGGGAAUAUUGCACAAUGGGCGAAAGCCUGAUGCAGCGACGCCGCGUGAGCGAAGAAGUAUUUCGGUAUGUAAAGCUCUAUCAGCAGGGAAGAUAAUGACGGUACCUGACUAAGAAGCACCGGCUAAAUACGUGCCAGCAGCCGCGGUAAUACGUAUGGUGCAAGCGUUAUCCGGAUUUACUGGGUGUAAAGGGAGCGCAGGCGGUGCGGCAAGUCUGAUGUGAAAGCCCGGGGCUCAACCCCGGUACUGCAUUGGAAACUGUCGUACUAGAGUGUCGGAGGGGUAAGCGGAAUUCCUAGUGUAGCGGUGAAAUGCGUAGAUAUUAGGAGGAACACCAGUGGCGAAGGCGGCUUACUGGACGAUAACUGACGC